This 14738-nucleotide long non-coding RNA is filed under the name Vitis vinifera (wine grape). Its description in RNAcentral is "long non-coding RNA (VVIN_LNC003358)". The record is from RNAcentral. Lineage: Eukaryota; Viridiplantae; Streptophyta; Magnoliopsida; Vitales; Vitaceae.
AAUCCUCACUAUCUUAUAAUAUGAAAAAAAAAAAAAAAAAAACUACAAAAAAUAGUUUUAUUUCUAUUUCCUAAAGAAAGGUACAUGUCAACCAAGUUCCGAACCUGUUUAACUUUAACAAAUCUAAAAUAAAUAUAAGAUGUUUUCAUUUAUUUUUAGAUAAAAUUUUAAAAAAAUAAUUAAAAACAUGAAUACGUUGUAUUAUAUUAUUUUGAAGAAUAAUAGAAGAAAAAAAUAUUUUGAUAUUUAAGUAUUCAAAUAUAAUUUUUUAAAAAAUUAAAAACUUAUUUUUAAGAAGUAUUCUUGAAAAUUAGAUUUACAUAGUAGACAUUCUAUACUUUUUCUCUACCUUUUUCAUUUCUCCCAUUUUAUUCAUUGAGUUCACAGUAAGGUGGGGAGAAUUUAUUAAAAAUAGAAAACUGAUAUUUCCAAAUACGUCAUAAUUUUAUUUCCCUCGAAAAUUUCAUAUAUAACAGACAUCGCUGCAAACGAGGAGGGACCUCCCCGCUGACAAUUACAAUGAAAAUAGUGUCAUUUCAUUGGAGGGAUCGCCAACUAAAACCCUAGUUUGGAGUUAUAUAAGGAGUACAGAGAAGAUAUCAAGAAUGGUUCAUCUUCCUAAUUAAUGGCGAGCCUGAUUUCAGAAUUUGGCUACUGGGUCACCUCCAUAGCCAUAAUAUCAUCAGUAUUUUGUGCUGGGGCAUGGGGACAGCCAUCGGAGAAGACCAGCGCCUUCUUCAUCUUCGGAGACUCAACUGUCGAUCCCGGCAACAACAAUUACAUCAACACCAUCCCUGAAAACAGAGCAGACUACAAGCCAUAUGGCCAGAAUGGCUUCUUCGAUCACCCCACUGGCCGCUUCUGUGAAGGCCGAAUAAUCGUUGAUUUCAUCGGUACAAAGCCCACUUGUGUUUAUGUAGUUUUUCUCAGAAUCAUUACCUAAAUCGUACUGGCUUCUUCUUUUUGUUACUGUUGAUACAGCUGAGUAUGCUAAUCUGCCAUUGAUUCCUCCAUUUUUUCAACCAUCCGCUGAUUUCAUUAAUGGCGUCAACUUUGCCUCUGGUGGGGCUGGCAUUCUUUCUGAAACCAAUCAGGGCUUGGUAAGGAAUGGUUUUCUGCGUGUGAAUAUCUAUAUAGAGAUAAGGUAGAUUUACAGAUUGAUCUUCUGCAUUAGGUGAUUGAUCUUCAAACACAGUUGAAGAACUUUGAAGAGGUGCAAAAAUCAUUAACAGAGAAGUUGGGAGAUGAGGAGGCUAAGGAACUGAUGUCAGAAGCUGUCUAUUUUAUUAGCAUUGGCAGCAAUGAUUAUAUGGGCGGCUAUCUGGGAAGUCCUAAAAUGCGAGAGUUAUACCAUCCCGAAGCUUAUGUUGGGAUGGUGAUCGGGAACUUGACUCAGGCAAUUCAGGUGAUUAAGCCCUUUAUUUUCUAUCGUGUUUAUAGUUUGUACUAAGGACCGGACGAUAUCUACACGGGAGAGAGACUGAGUCAUCACAGAACUUCAGUCCAAAGGUUAUCAUGCCUGCUGAACACUUGUGUUUGUGCCUGUUCUGUUCAGGUCUUAUAUGAAAAAGGAGGCAGGAAGUUUGGUUUCCUGAGCUUGUCUCCACUAGGUUGUUUACCUGCCCUGAGGGCUCUGAACCCCAAAGCCAGUGAAGGUGGCUGCUUGGAAGAGGCUUGUGCUCUUGCACUUGCACAUAAUAAUGCUUUGUCUGCUGUCCUCAGAAGCCUUGAACACACGAUGAAAGGGUUCAUGUACUCCAAAUCCAACUUCUAUAAUUGGCUUAAUGACAGAAUAAACAAUCCCUCCAAGUAUGGUAAGUACGCGACUAAGAGCUGUUUAGGAGUGAUUCCGGUUAAAAAUGCUUUUCAUUUGUAGUGUUUUUGUUAAUAUUACUUUCAUUGGAAACACUUUUAAAAUAUAUUACUUAUAGCUUUAAUGAUGAUUUUAGGAAGUGUUUUUAACAUUUUUAAUACUUAAAAAUUUUCAUCAUUCAAAUAUUAAAAAUGAUAAAAACAUUUCAUAAAAUCACUUUCAAACACAUUUUGGGAGUUCGUUUGGUAGUGAUUCUAAAAAGCACUUUUAAUAUUUAUAAUGCUUGAAAUUUUUUAUCAUUUAUGUAUUAAAAAUUAUAGAAAUACUUUUUAAAAACACUUAUAAAUACAAUCUUAGAAUGCAUUUGAUAGUGAUUUUAAAAAAUAUUUAUAAUAUUUUUAACACUUAAAAUAAUUAAAUUUUUUAAGUGUUAAAAAUGUUCAAAGGGUUCUUAAAAUUACUUUCAAAUGACACUUUCACGGUUCAAUACAUUUUUAUAAAUAAAAAAAAGUAGUUAUUUAUAUAUAAAGUAAAAUAACUUUUCUAUAAAAGGUAGACAACUAAUAAGCAGUUUAUAAAAGUGUUUAUAUUCUUAAAUAAGUAUCAAAAAGUUGUUACAUUUUACAUAAAAAAAUUACUAUUGUUUUAUGUAAAAUUAGAAAACAAAAGGUCUUAGUAUGCUAUUCAACAAAACUGCUAUGUUUUGAGAAUAACUUAGCAAUAUUUAUUUAUUUGUGAUAAACCACUUCUUGAUAAGUUUUUACUUUUUACAUUUACACUAAGGACAAAUUUGCGUUUUAAUUGUGAAGAUUUCAAGGAUGGGGUGAAUGCAUGCUGUGGAGCAGGGCCCUAUGGGGGCGUCUUCAGUUGUGGUGGAACAAAGAAGGUAACUGAGUACCAGUUAUGUGAGAACCCACAUGAGUACAUAUGGUGGGAUUCUUUCCAUCCAACGGAGAGAAUCCAUGAGCAGUUUGCUAAGGCUCUCUGGGAUGGACCUCCUUUCUCUGUAGGCCCAUAUAAUCUACAAGAACUCUUCUGGAGCAAGGAGAAGAAGCGCAUGACCAUUGCUGACAUAGUGGAUGACCCGGAUAAUCCAAUCGCUGGAUGAGCUUGAUUUGACUCAUUCCACACUAAUAAGGGCAGGGCCGCAGGGAUAGAAUAACCAUAAACCUAUAAUGUUGGCACGGGAGUGGGAGGUAUAUGCUUUGGUUGUUGAGAAUCUUGAGAUACCAAAUCCAAUAUUCCCACCCCAUGUCAGUUUGUACGCUUCAGCACAUCGUUGUUUUGUUGGGCACCACCUAUGUUAAUGUAAUCAGCCAUGCCAUGUUUGGUUCUGGAAAUAAUAAUCUUUUGAAGAUGUUUACCAUAUGAAAUUGGUAGUUACUAAAAUAUAAAUUUAAAGGGUUGAAAAUAUAUGAUAAAAUUUGGAGUUAUGGAAUGCUAAAAUUCUAUAAUAAAAUGGAGUAUUAAUAAUAAAACUUAGUAAAGGGAUUAGCACAAGAUUAGUCAACCAUUGUCGCACCGUGUCGUGCUGGAAUGGCAAACCGAAACCAAACAGAUGGCAGAGGCGACAAAAUAUUAACAGGUGUCUCAAAUUCUUGACCACUUUCUUUCACUAUAAUCACCACGUGCAACACACCUUUUUUUCCCCUUUUUAUCCAUAAAAAUAAAAUAAAAUUCAAACCCUACAUCUUCGCCAUGUUCACAUUUAUGGAUGGUCAACUAAUCAGUUUUUUAUGUCCAAGCUCAAAUAUGAAAAUUUGAAAUAUAAAUAGAUAAGAAUAUGAAAAAAAUCAUAGAGGUAUAAAAUAAUAUGAUUUGAAUCAUAGAGGGAAUGGGAUUUAAUUGAUGGUGAAUGGAUCAUAGCAUAUAAGAAAAUAUAACGGUGUCUCCGAAAGAGGGAAAAUGAAAUAUUAUUUGGCAUGACAAAUCUUCACCACAAUGUAACACUAACGCACAGGCAGGAUUCACAUGACAUACUCCACCUUUUUCAGUUUUCACACUGCCCAUUAAUAUUAUUAUUCUCUAUUUUAUUUAUACAAUUUUUAUUUUUAUUAUUAAUGUCGAGAGAGGUGUGUGUAAAUAUUAAAUAACAAAUAUAUAAACAUAGGGGUGUUAAAAUUAUUAUUUGUGAUGUGUGGAUGGAGGGUUCACCCAAAUUGUGGUUUUCAUUCGCUCUCCGGAUCUGACCUGAUUUUCUCUCUCUAGGGAGGUGGAAUAGAAUAGAAUAGGGUUUGAUUGAAGAAGAAGAAGAAGAAGAAGAAGAAGGGAGGUGUGGUUUGGAUUGGAGGCAUUAUUGGUGUGUGUUGGGGGUUGAGGGAGGAAUUGUGAAUGGAAGGGAGGAGUCAAAGAGGGGGAGAUUGGGGAAGGGGAUGCUGUAUUUGAAGCAGCCAAAGUGGGUGAAUGGGGUCAUAGGGGCCUAAAUCAGCUCCUCUUUGCAUGCCCUUCUGAUUCUGUUCCCGAGCCUAAGGCUCGGGAUCUGGAACCCCACCCCUCCAAUCAUGGCUUCUGAGAACGAGUCUCCCCGUCAGCAACCCCGUCCCUCCCACGCUUGUAUGCAGAAAUUCAGACUCUACGAGACUCAUUCUGUAAUUCUCCUUUCCUUCUUUUCUUUUCUUUUUUUGCCUUUCUUAAUUUCGUCUCUAGCUUUGAUCUCCUGGCAAUACUUUCUUUUGAUUCGUUUUUUCUUUUGCUUGAAAAUUCUGGCUGUGUUUUGAAUUGUGGAAACAUGGCAUCAUUUCCAUUUCAUUGAUGGGGCCUUUUGGUUCUUAUACGGAAUCUGAAUCAAAUGCGUGUUUGUUCAAUUCAGCUAUGACUCUUAUCUUGCACUGCUACAUUCGGUGUUCAGAUGUUAUGUGUUUAGCAUCAAAGUUCAUCUUCAAUGGAGUUUGAUCAUGGGUCACCCAAAAAAAAAGCCCAUCGUUAUGUUCUUCCAGUUUGGAAAUUGUCAAAGCAUACUUUUCUUUCUUCGGGUUUUGUCUAGAAUCUUUAGUGUAUGAGCUGGUUGAGUCAUUUACUUCUGGGCCAAGUUAUUAACUUUCUGCUGGGUCAAACAUCAUGGCUGAGUUCUCAAAUUGUGUGAAUUGUCGUGUCAAAUUGGUUUCCUUUUUUUGUUUUGUUCUUUGUUCAUAUUAUUUUUCUUGUAAAGGUUGGCACUUAAUCAAAGAAUUUAUGGUCUAUAAUUCUAAUUUCAAUUCAGGCCAAGUUUGUAAAAAUCUUACUUGCAUGAACCUCCUACACGAACCUCCUACACUAUUUGAAGCUAUUUUACAAUUCUCUAGUCACAUAAUCAUGAUUUAUUCUAUUGUGAUAUGAGCUCCAGCUGCCUGAGGAAAAGUACAAAUUCUCAACAAGCUCCAAAGUUUCAGCUCUUGUUGAUGUAAUAUAUUCUAAUAAAAUAAAGUGAAACUCCUCUUCUAUUCAAAAUUCAAAUCUAGAAAAGAAAGCUAUCAUCUAGUUAUUCUUUCAACCAAAAAAUACUACUCCUUCUAUGUUGAACCUCCUAAAUGAUAAUGCUUCUUGACUCCUGCACCUCUAGUUUGUUUACCUCUCAUUUUAUAAACAAAUAUUAUGUUCAAAGAUGUAAAUACUUCAUCCCCUUUGCUGGAAUUUUGGCAUAGGACUGCGGGACUUAUUCUACUUUGCAUGGUUUUUACUGUGAUUAAAAUUAAUAAGAAGAUUGGAAUUUUAGGGUGGGGAUGUUUUCUGUACCUUCAUUUUGGCAGCUUUUUUUGUUUCAGCUGUGUGGGGGUGGGUGUAUUUAUUUUGUAUAUCUUGGGUCGCAAUUUUGGCACCUCUUCUUAAUAUAUAUACUCUUCUUUACUUAUCAAAAAAUAAAAAUAAAAAUAAAAAAUCGAAUUGUAACUUAUCUGUUGUACUUCCUUUCCCAAUUUCAUGCUUUAAUUGUUUUUUCUUCAUGACUACUUCAUUUUUAGAACAAUCUCACUUUGCAUUGAAUAAAAACAAGGAUCAAGUGCUUAUUUAGCAAAGUAUUUUCAUUCUUAAACAGGUUUAUUGGUGCAUAUACUCCCUUUAUUUUAAAUCUUUUUGUGUAUAUUCAACAACUUACUCAUAUUUUGGCAAUAUGUCAUGCUGCAGAAAUUUUAUAUGAUCGGGAGGGACAAGACUAGAACAUAUUGGAGAGUGCUAAAGAUUGACAGGUUGGACCCCUCUGAGCUAAACAUACGUGAGGAUUCUACGACAUACACAGAAAGUGAAUGCUCUGAUCUUUUGAGACGGAUAAACGAAGGAAACAGGUCCACUGGUGGACUUAGAUUUGUCACUACUUGUUAUGGAAUUGUUGGUAUGUAGGUCUUGUUUGAAAUGUUUUUGUACUAAAGAUAUUUGCACCUUAAGAAAACAUAUUAUCUUCAUUGCAGUACUCAUGGUGCUUUGCUUUUUCUAGGCUUCAUUAAAUUUUUGGGUCCAUAUUACAUGCUGCUUAUCACAGAAAGAAGGCAGAUUGGUGUGAUCUGUGGCCACACGGUAUAUGCUGUCUCCAAGAGUGAGAUGAUUCCACUUCCAAAUCCUGAUGUUCAGAUCAAUAUGGCUUAUUCUAUGAAUGAGAACAGGUCUCUUGUUCAUUCUGAAUGUAAAUAUAUUAAGUCCAUUGUACUUCUGGCAGAAACCUUAGAUAUGACUUAUAAAAAUGGAGUCCCUUUUUCUAGUCAGGAAAUUGUUGUGUUCUCCUUGUGAUUCUUUCAUUCGAUAUUUCCCUUUAAUCUUUCUAUAGGAAGUAAUUUAACUUUGAAGUACCUUCUUAACAGCAGACAUUUCUAAUGCACAUGGCCGUACAAACAUGUUAAUUUUUACUAAUUUAUAAUUAUCACGCUCAUCAUUAAUUAAUAAGUAUGCUUAGAAUUUCUGUUGCCAUUUUCUUGCAGUUCUUAAAGAUAGAAUGAAGUUUUCAAUCGGUAAAUUAUCAAAUAAAAUAGCUGAAUACUCCAGUUUUUACAUCUUAUUUGUUUAUCUAUCAGGUUGUUGUUGAUACUAUGUACCAGUGCAAUUCUUCCUACUUCAUGAAUGGAACAUCUUUUUUCUUGUUUCAAUCUGUCACCUAAACAUUUUCUUUAUGCUUUAUCCUUUCUGAAAUUUUGCUCAAAACUUUAUGAUUGUUAUUUAAUUUUUACAUUUGUUUUAUUGGUGUUAUAGAUACAAGAAGCUCCUAUGCAUGGUGGAUCUUACAAAGGAUUUCUUUUUCAGCUACUCAUACCAUGUUAUGCGUAGUCUUCAAAGGAACUUGUGUGAUAAUGAGACAGGGCAGGUCCUUUAUGAAACUAUGUUUGUCUGGAAUGAAUUCUUAACUCGGGGAAUACGGAAUCACCUCCAGAAUACAGUUUGGACAGUUGCAUUGGUAUAUGGAUUUUUCAAGCAGGUGAGGAUUGGAUAAUGUUUGGAAUGAAUUUUCGUAAGGAAAUUGAAUUUCAGUAUGAUUUGUGUAUGCUUUCCCCUUCACUUGUAUAGCUGCAGGUGGAUCAACCCUGGUCAGGUGGAGUGCUGGAAUUUUUUAGGCCCGGUUAUAUUUUUGUUUGUGAUCUCCUGACUUAUCUAAUAACAAAAAUAUCUUAGUUUAUAGUUUUAUAUCUUUAAAUCAUCUGUCAGGGAACUAAAUUUGAGUAUAAUUUGGACCCACCUAUGACCGAACAAAAAUGGGUUCCAUAAACAACUCUAGUUUCUGAGUUUCAAUACCUCUUGUCUGAGAAGAGAAAGAAAGAGACAUGCUCCCAAAAUGCGAUAGAAGGACAAUAGGUCAUCAAUUUCUUGAUGCCUUAAGUGCAUGCAAAUCGAAAUUUGAAGAAGGAGAAUUGUGAGAGAAAGAAGUGAAGCUCAAUCUGGAAAGGAUGAAGGCAAGGGAACUGCAAACAUUAGGGCUGAUCUCAUCACCACACACCUCUACAAACAACCACCCCUAUCCUGGGUUAUUGGUUUCCAAGUACACCAGUGAGGUGUCCUGAUCUCAAACCUUACAUCUACUCUUUUUUGUGCAAACCAUAAGUGAUCCUAAUCAUCUAAUGCCAUAAGGAACCAGGCACCCCAGGUAACCUCGGGAACCACUGCCACCAUCACCAAUAAAUGCUCCAUUCCUCACAGUGACUCCCCCAGGCCCCAAGACCAAACACACGCAUGCUUAUCCCUCUCUCCUGCUGCUUUAGGUUUACACAUCUCAUUCAAUGCAAUUAGAUGGCUUCUUCUAUUGUUAAAAAAGAAAUCCCUCAGAAUUUCCCAAUUACAAAGGCUAUGUGAGACUUUAAAAUUUGAUUUGGAGUAUGUUGGAAUUUAUGUUAAAUGAGUCUGAACCAGAUCAAUUCAACCUGCUAAGAACAUAUAAGUUAUCUUCCUCCCAUCUAGUUGUUUGGAAACUUUUUACAUAACCAAGUCCCUGAAAUUGGGUGGCUUUAGGAUUGAAUCAUAGGGAGAGGCCUAGAUAAGUCAUGGACCAUAUGUAUGUUCUAUACCCCACUAUAGAAGCCAGCUGCACAAAAUGAUCAUGGUCAACUUUGAGGUCUAUUAAAGUGCUUUUAUCUAUAUUGAUCAUAAGUCUAGAUACCAUCCUCGAUGUUCUAAGAAUGAGUUUAAGAUUAUAAACGAAUUCCUUGUCACUUAAAGAGAAAAUGAUGUUUUUUACAAAUUACAAAAGGGAGAUACAAGCUCGGUCCCCAUCAACCUCAAACUACUCAAUCAAGCCCCUCUUAUCAAUCGUAUAGAUCAAUCUAAUAAGGAAAUCUCUUGUGAUAAUAAGUAAGAAACGAGAAAUGGGGGUUGCCUUGUUGGAUAUGUCUGGAGGCCUAAACUAAUCCAACCUUUAACAUUUUUUUUUAUUAGAAACAAAAGAUGUAUUAAUUAAUGUGAGAAAAAACUUGAGAAAAAUGAGAAAUACUUCCCAUGAAAUACAAACUUGAUCAGAAGACCUAAAAAAAACCUCUGCUUUACAAGGAGAUUUGUACAAAAGGAACAAAAAAGAUUAUACAAGUAUAACAUCUCCAAAAGCUCAUCUAGGCUCCUCACCAUGUAAGUCCAACCCUAAACAUACUGAAAGCCAACUAAGUUGGAUGACACUCAAGGGAAAGGGGUUUUAAAACAUCAGUGCAGUAGGCCCAAAAAGAAACAUAGAAAUGAAGUAAAUCUCACAUCAUCUCAAGCGUCUUCCAAGUAUCCUAAAAAAUCAUAGCAUUCUUUCUCCAUACAAUCCACAUCAUAGUGAGACAAACAAUCUUUCAAAAAGACUCUCUUACUUAUAAAAAAAAAAACCAAUCUUUCAAAGAGUCUUGCCUCUAGUAGAGUUCCCAAAACACAUAAAAGAAGUAACCAUCAUAUCAUGAACACUACUUGGUUGAACCCGUACCAUCCCAACCUAUGAGAAUAUCUUGUGCCAGAAUUCCAAAGUAAUUAGACAAUGUAAGCAUUGAUGAGAUAAUCAAUUGUCUCUCCACUCCCCCUACAUAGGGUGCACUAAUCGGGACUAAGGGCUUUAAAUGACCUCAAUUGUAGUAUAUCAUUGGUAUUUACCUUCUUAUGUGCCAUUAACCAUGCAAAGGCCAUGACCUUAUAAGGGACUUUUGAUUCCUACAAAAAUUUAGCUGGAUUGAAAGGAACUGAAUGUGAUAAAUUGGAAAAUGCUAAGAGAAAAUAUUUUGUUGAGAAUACUCUUGAAGAAGAAGGUGCUUUCACAUUUGGAACAAAUGGAGACAAAUGUACAUGGAAAAGAGAAGAUAAUCAUCCCUGAAUUUCUUUGCCAUUUAACACCGAACCCUUUCUUGUUGAGGGUUUGGUCCAAAAAAUGCAGUCCACAUGAUUAUUAGCCUUCUUAAAAUUCACCUUAUGGAUGAUCCCAUCCUUUUUUUUAUAACUGAUAUCUCUCACUCACAAUCUCAAGAAUGCUGCCUGAGAGGGAAAAUGGUUUCAUGAAGCCCUGAAAUGAAGAUGCUUGGGGAGAAGUGAAUCUUUUUCAGCAUCAUAUAAAGGCUUGUUAUCAAACUUAUGGGCUGAAAGUCCUUUGCUUAUACAUGUCCAUUUUGGGGGAUAUAGAACAAUUCUCCAAUUUUGAAUCCAUUUGCUUGUACUCAUAGCAUAGAUAUGAGCAAUGUUUUAACUUUUGAAAAAGGGAGUUAUUUAUAGACUUGCACUUACAAUGGCAGAUCAAAUUGUUUGAGGUAUAAGUAGUUAAAAAUUGUUUUACUUCCUGCCUUGAUGCCUGAUUCAAGUGGCAAGGGAUUCAAGUGGGAAUGUGGGAGGUUAGAGUCCCAACAGGGAUGAAAAGAAAUAAAAAGAACAAAGAAAAAAAAUGUUUCCUAGCAGAAAACAAAAAAUGUUUAGCUUCCUAAUUUUGUUGAAACUCAAUUUUUGAUAGGUCGAAUUUUGUUGAAACUUACUGUCUCGAUCAUAUAUCAGUAUUGCCUAGAAAACUCAGUAGAUGCUUGUCUGCUCCUUUUUGCAUGCACCAAACCUUUGGCAUUUUAUUGAUUGCUCUAUGUUGUGUGAAACCAGGCCAAAUUUUCUAUCUCUGGACGGGACUUUAAACUCACCCUCAUUGCAAGGCGUUCACGACAUUAUGCUGGCACCAGGUGGGAUUGAACUGGCUUCUUGUGAUUGUUAGUUAUUCUAUGCUAUAACCAUGUCCUUUUAAGAAAAUACAUGGUAUCUUUUGUUGCUAUUCUUUAAUGAUCCGUUGUAGUAAGGCAUCUUGAAAAGGUUUAUUGCAUAUAAUAUAUAAGCAUCUCUGUGUGGAAUAUUCAUUAUAUGCCUUGAAUGAGCGAUUGAUGGAUUAUUAUCCAUUUCAUUGAUUUUAACUUCACUUUGCUUAUGAGUCCAAUGAAACAAGUGGACCUGGUUAGCUAAGCUACUAGUAUUCAAGAUUUUGUAAUAUUGCAAUGAAAUUAUUCAUCAAUAAGGAGAGAGAGAGAGAGAGAGAGAAAAUGUUUCUGAUACAGUUAGGAGUAAUGUAAAUUUUUUUCCUCUCUCACUUUUGGCCACUUGCUUUAUAUGUUAAUGUUAUGUUUAUUUGCUUCUCAUCGAGUGCUUUCUUCUAAUGUAGGUAUUUGAAAAGAGGUGUAAAUGAGAAAGGCAGAGUAGCUAAUGAUGUUGAGACAGAACAGAUUGUGUUUGAAGAUGUCCCUGAAGGGUCUCCCAUUCAAAUUAGUUCUAUUGUCCAGAAUCGUGGCUCAAUCCCUCUCUUUUGGUCACAGGAAACGUCACGCUUGAAUAUUAAACCUGAUAUUAUAUGUAUGUUCUCACAUGCUAAUUAUAGCAUUAAACAUAAUGCUGUAUUUUUUUUCCACUGACACUUGUAUUUCUUUAGUGUCAAAGAAGGAUCAAAAUUAUGAAGCCACCAGACUUCACUUUGAAAAUCUUGUCAAGAGAUAUGGCAACCCUAUAAUCAUUUUGAACUUGAUUAAGGUAUUUAUAACUUGAUCUAAUUCUUGUCUUUUUCCAUCACCUUCUUCUUCUUCAUAAAUUGUCAUUAAGCAUGCAGAGGAUAGAGGACUUCUGAUAUUAUUACUGUAUAGAAAUAUUGGUAAUAGGGAACUCCAAAAUUUUGAUGCAUUUGAUUGGCAGAUGUUGAAUAAUUUUUAUCUUCUUUACCCUCUUUUGGUUGACACUAUUUUUUUAAUCAAUAGACACAUGAGAAGAGGCCUCGAGAGUCCAUUCUUCGUGCUGAGUUUGCUAAUGCAAUUGAAUAUAUUAAUAAAGAUUUAUCAGAGGAAAACCGCCUCAAGUUCCUUCACUGGGAUCUACACAGACAUUCUCGGAGGUACUUGACUUAUCUCAGUUUUGGGCUUUAUUUUUUAUGCUAAUGCUCUUUUAUAGAUGUGUUUCUUAUUUGGGAAAAGCAAUGUUUUUCAGCAAAGCUACAAAUGUUUUGCUACUUCUGGGAAGAGUGGCCUCAUAUGCGUUGACGUUAACGGGUUUCUUUUAUCGUCAAGUGACACCUGACUUGAAACCUGAGGAUUGUUUGAAAGGGCCUCAACUUGAGUAAGUUCUCUAUUCCAUGAUUUGAGCUGUCUGAGAUUUGCAUCAAAUAUGGCUCCUUUUGUUUAUUCUGCUUAUUUGCACUGAUAUUAUUUUCUAAUGUUUGAUAAAAGAUCUUUCUCUCUGUUACUAGAGAACCAAUUAGUUUCAGAUCAUGCUUGAAGCCAUGGGGAAUAUACGCUUUUCCGAUUGUCUUUGUCUGUCAGUAGCUUGGCUAUGGUAUCUUUGCUUUAAAAGAUUAACAAAAGCAGAUACACUUGCUGUUCCAUGUGCCCUUUAUUUUUUUUUUCUUUUUUUUUUUUUUUAAAAAAAAUUUCUUUUAAAUAAAUUUCCAUUUUGUGUUUUAGUAAAGGAACCUUUUUUUUUGUAAGGAUCUAAUGCCCACUCUUUCCUCCCUCUGAACUUCCCUAAUCACCUGCUGUCAUGAAGGUUUCAUUUAUAUAUAUAUAUAUAUAUAUAAUCCUUGAGUUAAGACAAUUGAAUUCUGGAAGUUAAGCAUGUUGAAUCAUGUGAUUGUACAAAAGAUUUUAAUAUAGCUCACUAUUCACUCAGUGGAUGGUCUCUUUUUUUUCUCCUGCUAAAAUUUGUGUAUAAAUGAUGUGAUUCAUGAAGUUUGAUUUUGUUGGUUAUUGAUUUGGGUGUUAGAAAUCAUGAGCUUUCUUCUUUUUUCUUUCUCUUUUCCCUCUUCUUUGUAGCUGAAAUACAUUUUAGCUAUAGUUGGUUGCCAUAGCAUUGGGAUGGAUAUUGCAGUAUGUACUUUGUAGAUACAUGGGGAAAUUGGGUGGGAUGGUGGGUUUCCCUAUGCUUUUCUGAUCUCUGAAAAUGUAACUCUAAUCUCUCAUAGAGAAUUGCACGUAUUAUUGGAAGCAAAAAGAUCAUGUUGCAGAUUUUUACUUUAUUAGUUUUUUUCCCAGUAAUGCUAGCGUACUGACAGGAAGGUUGGCUAUGAAAAUAUAAUGCAGGAACUCUGAUAUGAGCGACUUAUCUCUCCAUGAAAAUUGUGAGAGUCACAACGAGGAUGAUGAUAAUUUGGAGAGGAAAUUUAGUGGAGGUAACAAUAUUGCUAAUGGAAAUCAUUCUGUCAAGCCACCAAUGCUCCAAAAGGGGGUGCUCAGGACCAAUUGCAUAGACUGCCUGGAUCGGACUAAUGUUGCACAGUAUGCAUAUGGCCUGGCAGCUCUUGGUCGCCAGCUUCAUGCUUUAGGUGUUAUAGAUGUCCCAAAAAUAGAUCUUGAUGCUCCUUUAGCUGAUGAUUUAAUGGGGUUUUAUGAAAGAAUGGGUGACACACUUGCACACCAAUAUGGUGGCUCAGCUGCUCAUAACAAGGUAAGGAUGACUUGUGAUGCUGAUUGCUAGUGUAUGCAAUUUUUUAAUUCAAAAGAAUAAUUGAACUUAGGUUUUUGUUUUUGUUUGUAUUCUCUUCUUUAACUACCUUUGUCAUAUCCUUACUCCCUCAUUCUCUCUUUGCCAAGUCAUCAAGAAUUGAUUUGAUUUGUUUUUUUGCAAUUGGAGUCAAAAUUGAUAUUUUGCAUUAUUGGAUGGAUGUUUCAAUACAUAGUAAUCCUCAUAUGCCAGAAAACAAUAACCUGAUAGGCACAUUCUUCAUUUUUUUCCCUCUUGUAUAUAUCUUGUAGUAAGUCCCCAUUCAUUAAAUGGUUGAUUAUCAAAUCUUCUCUGCACUGCUGUCGGGACAAGAAACACCACUGAUAGGCCUAAAGAACCCCAAACCACAUUCAAUGGAGAAGCAACUUCACCUUCUAACCUAGUGACAACUCUACCUUCAGACUACCACUCAAAUAAAAAAGAGGGUCCUGCUUGAAUUACUUGUCAUGAAGGGACCUCUCAAACAAUGGGCACCAAUGCCUCACCUCCUCUGUAGCUCAUCCCUUCGAUGAUUUCACCCUGGAAGAAUUCUCAAUUCGAUGCGGGCCAAGUUCCUCUCUCGUACCUGUAUUUUGACCCACCACCCCUUCACAAAUUCUCCUUCCACUUGUACUUCCACUCCACUUACUCAACAAAACCCAAUUCAAUAGGCAGACAUCUGAUGCCCGACCUCCCACCUCCUUGGAAGAAGCGAUCCCUUCCCGGUCCACUUUGGUGAUGCUUGAUAUUGUUGCCUAAGUCAAUCCACACACAAAAAAAAAAAAAAAAAAAAGGAGAGAGAGAGAGAAGAAGGAAGAAGAAAAAGAAAAAGAAAGAAAAAUAGAAUUCCAAAUCCUCUGCAAAAAAGGGACAGUAUUGUCUCCUGUAAUUCUCAAAUGAUGGACCCAGAACUGCAUUUUGGACUUGUAAUUCUUGCCAAGUUUAAACUAAGGAAGAGAACCCAUUCUGUUUCUGUAGUCAAGAUUUUACCAGUCAAUACUGCUAUUUCAUUAAUGUCGCUCCACAGGAUUAUCCUGCUUUGGUUAACCUAAUUUUGAGUCCAGAAUCUGCUUCAAAGCACUGAGAAUGCCCAUGAGCAUUGUUAGCUAGCUGAUCUUAAAGAAGGUUCAUGAAAGAUGAAAGUAUCACUAGAAUAAAGCAAAUGGGAGAAUGAGCCACUCUGGCAGCCAAAAUCUCCACUUUGAACCCAGAAAUAAAAGCCCAUGCCACUGCUCUAUCCAUUAAAAACUCAAUACCCCUGCCAAAAUUAAUAGAAUAGAUGACAAUGCUCCUUACACAGAUCCUUAAAUCUCCUAAAAUAUCCCGCAGAAGCUACAUUGUUAAGCACCUGGAGGGACAUAGAGGUGGUGCAACUCCAAAUCCAAGCUCCCCAUGUUUUCCUAACAUACAGUUUAUCAAACCCCUGUGCACAUGAUCGUAAUCUUUUUCACUGUCUAAAUUACACAAAACACCUGGUGUUUUACUAUUCUACUUUCAACUCCAGACACCCAUUUGCUUUCAAAGCUACAAUCAUGAUUUGGAUUCCUCCUUCCCAUAUCUUAGCAAUCAUCUUCUUGUUCAUUAAGUCUACAGAGCU